This 2905-nucleotide ribosomal RNA is filed under the name Escherichia coli. RNAcentral describes it as "23S ribosomal RNA". It matches the Rfam family "Bacterial large subunit ribosomal RNA". Lineage: Bacteria; Pseudomonadati; Pseudomonadota; Gammaproteobacteria; Enterobacterales; Enterobacteriaceae. The record is from RNAcentral.
GGUUAAGCGACUAAGCGUACACGGUGGAUGCCCUGGCAGUCAGAGGCGAUGAAGGACGUGCUAAUCUGCGAUAAGCGUCGGUAAGGUGAUAUGAACCGUUAUAACCGGCGAUUUCCGAAUGGGGAAACCCAGUGUGUUUCGACACACUAUCAUUAACUGAAUCCAUAGGUUAAUGAGGCGAACCGGGGGAACUGAAACAUCUAAGUACCCCGAGGAAAAGAAAUCAACCGAGAUUCCCCCAGUAGCGGCGAGCGAACGGGGAGCAGCCCAGAGCCUGAAUCAGUGUGUGUGUUAGUGGAAGCGUCUGGAAAGGCGUGCGAUACAGGGUGACAGCCCCGUACACAAAAAUGCACAUGCUGUGAGCUCGAUGAGUAGGGCGGGACACGUGGUAUCCUGUCUGAAUAUGGGGGGACCAUCCUCCAAGGCUAAAUACUCCUGACUGACCGAUAGUGAACCAGUACCGUGAGGGAAAGGCGAAAAGAACCCCGGCGAGGGGAGUGAAAAAGAACCUGAAACCGUGUACGUACAAGCAGUGGGAGCACGCUUAGGCGUGUGACUGCGUACCUUUUGUAUAAUGGGUCAGCGACUUAUAUUCUGUAGCAAGGUUAACCGAAUAGGGGAGCCGAAGGGAAACCGAGUCUUAACUGGGCGUUAAGUUGCAGGGUAUAGACCCGAAACCCGGUGAUCUAGCCAUGGGCAGGUUGAAGGUUGGGUAACACUAACUGGAGGACCGAACCGACUAAUGUUGAAAAAUUAGCGGAUGACUUGUGGCUGGGGGUGAAAGGCCAAUCAAACCGGGAGAUAGCUGGUUCUCCCCGAAAGCUAUUUAGGUAGCGCCUCGUGAAUUCAUCUCCGGGGGUAGAGCACUGUUUCGGCAAGGGGGUCAUCCCGACUUACCAACCCGAUGCAAACUGCGAAUACCGGAGAAUGUUAUCACGGGAGACACACGGCGGGUGCUAACGUCCGUCGUGAAGAGGGAAACAACCCAGACCGCCAGCUAAGGUCCCAAAGUCAUGGUUAAGUGGGAAACGAUGUGGGAAGGCCCAGACAGCCAGGAUGUUGGCUUAGAAGCAGCCAUCAUUUAAAGAAAGCGUAAUAGCUCACUGGUCGAGUCGGCCUGCGCGGAAGAUGUAACGGGGCUAAACCAUGCACCGAAGCUGCGGCAGCGACACUAUGCGUUGUUGGGUAGGGGAGCGUUCUGUAAGCCUGUGAAGGUGUGCUGUGAGGCAUGCUGGAGGUAUCAGAAGUGCGAAUGCUGACAUAAGUAACGAUAAAGCGGGUGAAAAGCCCGCUCGCCGGAAGACCAAGGGUUCCUGUCCAACGUUAAUCGGGGCAGGGUGAGUCGACCCCUAAGGCGAGGCCGAAAGGCGUAGUCGAUGGGAAACAGGUUAAUAUUCCUGUACUUGGUGUUACUGCGAAGGGGGGACGGAGAAGGCUAUGUUGGCCGGGCGACGGUUGUCCCGGUUUAAGCGUGUAGGCUGGUUUUCCAGGCAAAUCCGGAAAAUCAAGGCUGAGGCGUGAUGACGAGGCACUACGGUGCUGAAGCAACAAAUGCCCUGCUUCCAGGAAAAGCCUCUAAGCAUCAGGUAACAUCAAAUCGUACCCCAAACCGACACAGGUGGUCAGGUAGAGAAUACCAAGGCGCUUGAGAGAACUCGGGUGAAGGAACUAGGCAAAAUGGUGCCGUAACUUCGGGAGAAGGCACGCUGAUAUGUAGGUGAAGCGACUUGCUCGUGGAGCUGAAAUCAGUCGAAGAUACCAGCUGGCUGCAACUGUUUAUUAAAAACACAGCACUGUGCAAACACGAAAGUGGACGUAUACGGUGUGACGCCUGCCCGGUGCCGGAAGGUUAAUUGAUGGGGUUAGCCGCAAGGCGAAGCUCUUGAUCGAAGCCCCGGUAAACGGCGGCCGUAACUAUAACGGUCCUAAGGUAGCGAAAUUCCUUGUCGGGUAAGUUCCGACCUGCACGAAUGGCGUAAUGAUGGCCAGGCUGUCUCCACCCGAGACUCAGUGAAAUUGAACUCGCUGUGAAGAUGCAGUGUACCCGCGGCAAGACGGAAAGACCCCGUGAACCUUUACUAUAGCUUGACACUGAACAUUGAGCCUUGAUGUGUAGGAUAGGUGGGAGGCUUUGAAGUGUGGACGCCAGUCUGCAUGGAGCCGACCUUGAAAUACCACCCUUUAAUGUUUGAUGUUCUAACGUUGACCCGUAAUCCGGGUUGCGGACAGUGUCUGGUGGGUAGUUUGACUGGGGCGGUCUCCUCCUAAAGAGUAACGGAGGAGCACGAAGGUUGGCUAAUCCUGGUCGGACAUCAGGAGGUUAGUGCAAUGGCAUAAGCCAGCUUGACUGCGAGCGUGACGGCGCGAGCAGGUGCGAAAGCAGGUCAUAGUGAUCCGGUGGUUCUGAAUGGAAGGGCCAUCGCUCAACGGAUAAAAGGUACUCCGGGGAUAACAGGCUGAUACCGCCCAAGAGUUCAUAUCGACGGCGGUGUUUGGCACCUCGAUGUCGGCUCAUCACAUCCUGGGGCUGAAGUAGGUCCCAAGGGUAUGGCUGUUCGCCAUUUAAAGUGGUACGCGAGCUGGGUUUAGAACGUCGUGAGACAGUUCGGUCCCUAUCUGCCGUGGGCGCUGGAGAACUGAGGGGGGCUGCUCCUAGUACGAGAGGACCGGAGUGGACGCAUCACUGGUGUUCGGGUUGUCAUGCCAAUGGCACUGCCCGGUAGCUAAAUGCGGAAGAGAUAAGUGCUGAAAGCAUCUAAGCACGAAACUUGCCCCGAGAUGAGUUCUCCCUGACUCCUUGAGAGUCCUGAAGGAACGUUGAAGACGACGACGUUGAUAGGCCGGGUGUGUAAGCGCAGCGAUGCGUUGAGCUAACCGGUACUAAUGAACCGUGAGGCUUAACCUU